UGGGGAAUAUUGGACAAUGGGCGAAAGCCUGAUCCAGCCAUGCCGCGUGUGUGAAGAAGGUCUUCGGAUUGUAAGCACUUUAAGUUGGGAGGAAGGGCAUUAACCUAAUACGUUAGUGUUUUGACGUUACCGACAGAAUAAGCACCGGCUAACUCUGUGCCAGCAGCCGCGGUAAUACAGAGGGUGCAAGCGUUAAUCGGAAUUACUGGGCGUAAAGCGCGCGUAGGUGGUUUGUUAAGUUGGAUGUGAAAGCCCCGGGCUCAACCUGGGAACUGCAUCCAAAACUGGCAAGCUAGAGUACGGUAGAGGGUGGUGGAAUUUCCUGUGUAGCGGUGAAAUGCGUAGAUAUAGGAAGGAACACCAGUGGCGAAGGCGACCACCUGGACUGAUACUGACACUGAGGUGCGAAAGCGUGGGGAGCAAACA
Molecule: ribosomal RNA, 426 nt
Filed under: uncultured bacterium
Lineage: Bacteria
Description: partial 16S ribosomal RNA
Rfam family: Bacterial small subunit ribosomal RNA
Source: RNAcentral